CAGUCGCCACGGUAAUACGGAGGGAGCUAGCGUUGUUCGGAAUCACUGGGCGUAAAGCGCACGUAGGCGGCUAUUCAAGUCAGGGGUGAAAGCCCGGGGCUCAACCCCGGAACUGCCUUUGAAACUAGAUAGCUUGAAUCUUGGAGAGGCGAGUGGAAUUCCGAGUGUAGAGGUGAAAUUCGUAGAUAUUCGGAAGAACACCAGUGGCGAAGGCGACUCGCUGGACAAGUAUUGACACUGAGGUGCGAAAGCGUGGGGAGCAAACAGGAUUAGAUACCCCGGUAGUCCCUGUCUCUUAUAC
Molecule: ribosomal RNA, 301 nt
Filed under: uncultured bacterium
Lineage: Bacteria
Description: partial 16S ribosomal RNA
Rfam family: Bacterial small subunit ribosomal RNA
Source: RNAcentral